RNAcentral lists this ribosomal RNA (441 nucleotides) under uncultured bacterium. Its description in RNAcentral is "partial 16S ribosomal RNA". It matches the Rfam family "Bacterial small subunit ribosomal RNA", at positions 338 to 795 of the family's 1533-position model. The record is from RNAcentral.
CCUACGGGAGGCUACAGUGGGGAAUAUUGCACAAUGGGGGAAACCCUGAUGCAGCGACGCCGCGUGAGUGAAGAAGUAUUUCGGGAUGUAAAGCUCUAUCAGCAGGGAAGAAGCACGGCGGUACCUGACUACGAAGCCCCGGCUAACUACGUUCCAGCAACCGCGGUAAUACGUAGGGGGCAAGCGUUAUCCGGAUUUACUGGGUGUAAAGGGAGCGUAGACGGUAUGGCAAGUCUGAAGUGAAAGCCCAGGGCUUAACCCUGGGACUGCUUUGGAAACUGUUAGACUAGAGUGCUGGAGAGGUAAGUGGAAUUCCUAGUGUAGCGGUGAAAUGCGUAGAUAUUAGGAGGAACACCAGUGGCGAAGGCGGCUGACUGGACAGUAACUGACGUUGAGGCUCGAAAGCGUGGGGAGCAAACAGGAUUAGAUACCCCUGUAGUC